CCUACGGGUGGCAGCAGUGGGGAAUAUUGGGCAAUGGGCGCAAGCCUGACCCAGCAACGCCGCGUGAAGGAAGAAGGCUUUCGGGUUGUAAACUACUUUUCUGAGGGACGAAGGAAGUGACGGUAACUCAGGAAUAAGCCACGGCUAACUACGUGCCAGAAGCCGAGGUAAUACGUAGGUGGCAAGCGUUAUCCGGAUUUAUUGGGGGUAAAGGGCGUGUAGGCGGGAAAGCAAGUCAGAUGUGAAAACUCAGGGCUCAACCCUGAGCCUGCAUUUGAAACUGUUUUGCUUGAGUGCUGGAGAGGCAAUCGGAAUUCCGGGUGUAGCGGUGAAAUGCGUAGAUAUACGGAGGAACACCAGUGGCGAAGGCGGAUUGCUGGACAGUAACUGACGCUGAGGCGCGAAAGCGUGGGGAGCAAACAGGAUUAGAUACCCUAGUAGUC
Molecule: ribosomal RNA, 443 nt
Filed under: uncultured bacterium
Lineage: Bacteria
Description: partial 16S ribosomal RNA
Rfam family: Bacterial small subunit ribosomal RNA
Source: RNAcentral